Molecule: ribosomal RNA, 441 nt
Filed under: uncultured bacterium
Lineage: Bacteria
Description: partial 16S ribosomal RNA
Rfam family: Bacterial small subunit ribosomal RNA
Source: RNAcentral
CCUACGGGAGGCAGCAGUGGGGGAUAUUGCACAAUGGGGGAAACCCUGAUGCAGCGACGCCGCGUGGGUGAAGAAGUAUUUCGGUAUGUAAAGCCCUAUCAGCAGGGAAGAAAGAAGACGGUACCUGACUAAGAAGCCCCGGCUAACUACGUGCCAGCAGCCGCGGUAAUACGUAGGGGGCGAGCGUUAUCCGGAUUCACUGGGUGUAAAGGGAGCGUAGACGGCCGUGCAAGCCAGGAGUGAAAGCCCGGGGCCCAACCCCGGGACUGCUCUUGGAACUGGGCGGCUGGAGUGCGGGAGGGGCAGGCGGAAGUCCUGGUGUAGCGGUGAAAUGCGUAGAUAUCAGGAGGAACAACGGCGGCGAAGGCGGCCUGCUGGACCGCGACUGACGUUGAGGCUCGAAAGCGUGGGGAGCGAACAGGAUUAGAUACCCUAGUAGUC